This 78-nucleotide small nucleolar RNA is filed under the name Cicer arietinum (chickpea). RNAcentral's name for it is "small nucleolar RNA snoR114". It matches the Rfam family "small nucleolar RNA snoR114". Lineage: Eukaryota; Viridiplantae; Streptophyta; Magnoliopsida; Fabales; Fabaceae. The record is from Rfam by way of RNAcentral.
AAGCAAUGAUGAAUUCGCUUGUGAUGGUGGGUCCAUCGCUACCCGAACUAUGGGAUGUAAAUAAGCGUAUUUGAGCUC